RNAcentral lists this long non-coding RNA (224 nucleotides) under Lathyrus oleraceus (garden pea). Its description in RNAcentral is "Pisum sativum (pea) long non-coding RNA (PSAT_LNC003255)". The record is from RNAcentral. Lineage: Eukaryota; Viridiplantae; Streptophyta; Magnoliopsida; Fabales; Fabaceae.
CGAUUCUGAGACUUUUAAUCGACCUUAGCAACUCACCAGACAUCCUGUUCUAGAGCACCCUCAAAGGGCUCUAGCUAGAUCCUAACAUCAUUGGAUCUUUCCAAGGAUCUUUGGUCAGCAUGUCGGGCGAGCAGGUACACGUUAAGGGCCACAUUACCCUCGAAACAACAUUCAGAUCAUGAGCGAGUUCCAUAACCAUUGAGGUGAAAUACCUAGUAGUAGAU